RNAcentral lists this non-coding RNA (21 nucleotides) under Arabidopsis thaliana (thale cress). The record is from RNAcentral. Lineage: Eukaryota; Viridiplantae; Streptophyta; Magnoliopsida; Brassicales; Brassicaceae.
GCACAUAACGCUGGGGUGCUA